GGCGAGAUGGCCGAGCGGUCUAAGGCGCUAGAAUCAGGUUAUUAGUGCUUCUCACUAAUGACAUCAUCUAGUCCUCCGGGGCGUGGGUUCGAAUCCCACUCUCGUCA
Molecule: non-coding RNA, 107 nt
Organism: Schizophyllum amplum
Lineage: Eukaryota; Fungi; Basidiomycota; Agaricomycetes; Agaricales; Schizophyllaceae
Source: the annotation of a GenBank genome assembly